Molecule: ribosomal RNA, 1440 nt
Filed under: 'Picris echioides' phyllody phytoplasma
Lineage: Bacteria; Bacillati; Mycoplasmatota; Mollicutes; Acholeplasmatales; Acholeplasmataceae
Description: 16S ribosomal RNA
Rfam family: Bacterial small subunit ribosomal RNA
Source: RNAcentral
UCAGGAUGAACGCUGGCGGCGUGCCUAAUACAUGCAAGUCGAACGAAAACCUUCGGGUUUUAGUGGCGAACGGGUGAGUAACACGUAAGCAACCUACCCUAAAGACGAGGAUAACCAUUGGAAACAGUGGCUAAGACUGGAUAGGAAGAUAGAAGGCAUCUUUUAUCUUUUAAAAGACCUAGUAAUAGGUAUGCUUUAGGAGGGGCUUGCGCCAUAUUAGUUAGUUGGUAGGGUAACGGCCUACCAAGACGAUGAUGUGUAGCUGGACUGAGAGGUUGAACAGCCACAUUGGGACUGAGACACGGCCCAAACUCCUACGGGAGGCAGCAGUAGGGAAUUUUCGGCAAUGGAGGAAACUCUGACCGAGCAACGCCGCGUGAAUGAUGAAGUACUUCGGUAUGUAAAAUUCUUUUAUCAAGGAAGAAAAGCAAGUGGUGAACCAUUUGUUUGCCGGUACUUGAUGAAUAAGCCCCGGCUAAUUAUGUGCCAGCAGCCGCGGUAAGACAUAAGGGGCGAGUGUUAUCCGGAAUUAUUGGGCGUAAAGGGUGCGUAGGCGGUAUAGUAAGUCAGUGGUGUAAUGGCAACGCUUAACGUUGUCCGGCUAUUGAAACUGCUACACUUGAGUUAGAUAGAGGCGAGUGGAAUUCCAUGUGUAGCGGUAAAAUGCGUAAAUAUAUGGAGGAACACCAGAGGCGUAGGCGGCUCGCUGGGUCUUAACUGACGCUGAGGCACGAAAGCGUGGGGAGCAAACAGGAUUAGAUACCCUGGUAGUCCACGCCGUAAACGAUGAGUACUAAGUGUCGGGUUAAACCGGUACUGAAGUUAACACAUUAAGUACUCCGCCUGAGUAGUACGUACGCAAGUAUGAAACUUAAAGGAAUUGACGGGACUCCGCACAAGCGGUGGAUCAUGUUGUUUAAUUCGAAGAUACCCGAAAAACCUUACCAGGUCUUGACAUGUUUUUGCGAAACAGUAGUAAUAUUGUGGAGGUUAUCAGAAACACAGGUGGUGCAUGGUUGUCGUCAGCUCGUGUCGUGAGAUGUUAGGUUAAGUCCUAAAACGAGCGAAACCCUUAUCGUUAGUUGCCAGCACGUUAUGGUGGGGACUUUAACGAGACUGCCAAUGAUAAAUUGGAGGAAGGUGAGGAUCACGUCAAAUCAGCAUGCCCCUUAUGACCUGGGCUACAAACGUGAUACAAUGGCUGUUACAAAGGGUAGCUGAAACGUAAGUUUUUGGCCAAUCCCCAAAAACAGUCCCAGUCCGGAUUGAAGUCUGCAACUCGACUUCAUGAAGUUGGAAUCGCUAGUAAUCGCGAAUCAGCAUGUCGCGGUGAAUACGUUCUCGGGGUUUGUACACACCGCCCGUCAAACCACGAAAGUUGGCAAUACCCCAAAACGGUAGCCUAACUCGGUUCUCCGAGAGGGCGUCGUCUAAGGUAGG